Molecule: ribosomal RNA, 462 nt
Filed under: uncultured bacterium
Lineage: Bacteria
Description: bacterial SSU rRNA
Rfam family: Bacterial small subunit ribosomal RNA
Source: RNAcentral
GGGCCCGCACAAGCAGCGGAGCAUGUGGUUUAAUUCGAGGCAACGCGAAGAACCUUACCUGGACUUGACAUCUCCUGAAUUACCCUUAAUCGGGGAAGCCCUUCGGGGCAGGAAGACAGGUGGUGCAUGGUUGUCGUCAGCUCGUGUCGUGAGAUGUUGGGUUAAGUCCCGCAACGAGCGCAACCCCUAUUGUCAGUUGCUACCAUUCAGUUGAGCACUCUGGCAAGACUGCCCGGGUUAACCGGGAGGAAGGUGGGGAUGACGUCAAAUCAUCAUGCCCCUUACGUCCAGGGCUACACACGUGCUACAAUGGCAGGUACAAAGAGCAGCGAACUCGCGAGAGCCAGCCAAUCUCAUAAAACCUGCCCCAGUUCAGAUUGCAGGCUGCAACUCGCCUGCAUGAAGUCGGAGUUGCUAGUAAUCGCGAAUCAGCAUGUCGCGGUGAAUACGUUCCCGGGCCUU